This 793-nucleotide ribosomal RNA is filed under the name uncultured archaeon. Its description in RNAcentral is "bacterial SSU rRNA". It matches the Rfam family "Archaeal small subunit ribosomal RNA", at positions 85 to 879 of the family's 1478-position model. The record is from RNAcentral.
ACGGCUCAGUAACACGUGGACAACCUGCCCAAAGGUCCGGGAUAACCCCGGGAAACUGGGGAUAAUACCGGAUAAAUCACGAGUACUGGAAGGUUUUGUGGUUGAAACUUCCGGGGCCUUUGGAUGGGUCUGCGGCGGAUUAGGUUGUUGCCGGUGUAACGUACCGUCAAGCCUGUAAUCCGUACGGGUUGUGGGAGCAAGAGCCCGGAGAUGGAUUCUGAGACACGAAUCCAGGCCCUACGGGGCGCAGCAGGCGCGAAAACUCUACAAUGCAGGCAACUGCGAUAGGGGAACAUCGAGUGAUACUCAUAUUGGGUGUCUGUCCCACCGUCUAAAAAACGGUGGUUAGCAAGGGCCGGGCAAGACCGGUGCCAGCCGCCGCGGUAAUACCGGCGGCUCGAGUGGUGGCCGAUAUUAUUGAGUCUAAAGGGUCCGUAGCCGGCUUUGCAAGUCUUUUGGGAAAUCCAGCGGCUUAACCGUUGGUCGUCCGGGAGAUACUACAUUGCUUGGGACUGGGAGAGGUAGGAGGUACUCAGGGGGUAGGAGUGAAAUCCUGUAAUCCUUUGGGGACCACCGGUGGCGAAGGCGUCCUACCAGAACAGGUCCGACGGUGAGGGACGAAAGCUAGGGGCACGAACCGGAUUAGAUACCCGGGUAGUCCUAGCCGUAAACGAUGCUCGCUAGGUGUCACAACAAUCGUGAAUUGUUGUGGUGCCGUAGGGAAGCCGUGAAGCGAGCCACUUGGGAAGUACGACCGCAAGGUUGAAACUUAAAGGAAUUGGCGGGGGAGCAC